RNAcentral lists this ribosomal RNA (310 nucleotides) under Gammaproteobacteria bacterium. RNAcentral's name for it is "partial 23S ribosomal RNA". It matches the Rfam family "Bacterial large subunit ribosomal RNA", at positions 2639 to 2925 of the family's 2925-position model. The record is from RNAcentral. Lineage: Bacteria; Pseudomonadati; Pseudomonadota; Gammaproteobacteria.
UAUCUGCCGUGGGCGUUGGAAACUUGAAGGGAGCUGCUCCUAGUACGAGAGGACCGGAGUGGACGUACCCCUGGUGUUCCGGUUGUCACGCCAGUGGCACUGCCGGGUAGCUAUGUACGGACGGGAUAACCGCUGAAAGCAUCUAAGCGGGAAGCCCACCCUAAGAUAAGGUUUCCCUGGACCUUUAAGGUCCCUGAAGGGUCGUCGGAGACUACGACGUUGAUAGGCCGGGUGUGGAAGCGCAGUAAUGUGUGAAGCUAACCGGUACUAAUUACCCGUGAGGCUUGACCAUAUAACACCCAAGCGGUCU